RNAcentral lists this ribosomal RNA (303 nucleotides) under uncultured bacterium. RNAcentral describes it as "partial 16S ribosomal RNA". It matches the Rfam family "Bacterial small subunit ribosomal RNA", at positions 507 to 807 of the family's 1533-position model. The record is from RNAcentral.
AGCAGUAGCCGCGGUAAUACGGAGGGUGCAAGCGUUAAUCGGAAUUACUGGGCGUAAAGCGCACGCAGGCGGUCUGUCAAGUCAGAUGUGAAAUCCCCGGGCUUAACCUGGGAACUGCAUUUGAAACUGGCAGGCUAGAGUCUUGUAGAGGGGGGUAGAAUUCCAGGUGUAGCGGUGAAAUGCGUAGAGAUCUGGAGGAAUACCGGUGGCGAAGGCGGCCCCCUGGACAAAGACUGACGCUCAGGUGCGAAAGCGUGGGGAGCAAACAGGAUUAGAUACCCGUGUAGUCCCUGUCUCUUAUAC